AGCAUGUCUUCGGACUGCCACUAACAGUGUUUAAAUAUGGAGUUUCUGCGCAGCUCCAUUGAGAAUUCUGUGUAACUCAUCUGAUCUCCCUUCUUCCCUAUGUGACCAGUGCCCCGGGGAAUGGAGGCAGAAGGGAGUGUGCAGUGGGAGAGAGGACAGAGGAGCCUGGGAAGAUCUCCCCCAAAUAAUGAGCGGUGAGAUAGAAGUGACUUUGGAUCUUGGGGGAUUCGACAGACACGUAGAUUUGGAGUGUGUGUGUGUGUGUGUGUGUGAGUGUGUGUGUUAUUGUUUGUGUAUGUGUGUGUGUUUUGCAGUCUGAGUUAAAUGGUGUGUCAAUUCCACUUUGUGAGUCAGUCAGUCCAUUCCAUUAGACACACAAACACACACAUACACACACGUGCACACACGUGCACACACCCACACACACGCGCGUACGCACACGCACACACACACACUCUCUCUACUCCAGUACAGUUGUGGCCUCUGUGGAUGCAUAAUCAUUGCCAGGAGUCACAGGCAAUAUAGUGAGAAUUGGAUCUUUAGUGCCUGUUAAAAUAUUACUGAGCUGAUUAAUAUUGAAAUAUGCACGUCUCUAAGCCGUCUAUCCCUCAUUUUCUUUCCCACUUUCCAUCUAUUUCUCUCCCUGUCCGCACCGUUCUCCUUCAUCUCUCAAUGUCUCCUUCGCUAUUUCGGCUACUUAGUCGCAUUUCGCUUGAAUUAGCAAGACGGCUUGAUGUGAAUUAUUUGAAGGAAGAGUUUGAAAGUGUUUGCACACGUUUGAUGUUCUCUUACAUAUUUUCGAAGCCCGUGGUCCCUGUUUUGAAUUGUUAUGCUGACCCGUCUCAUAUAUUUUGAAUGGAAAGACAUAAAUAUAGCGGCAGGUCACAAGUUAGCCUAACCGGAACACCUAGUCGGUGAUGUGUGACCUGAACAGUCCAUUAGUCACGGUACGCUCUUAUUCAUGCCACGCAUAGCUUUAUGUCUCUAACUGAUUUUUACACUACUAAUUAAUGUUUCACGGUGCUGUUUAUAAAAGCCAGAGGCGCCUAAGGAGGUAAAGGGCAUGGGGUAGCAUGGAUCAUUACAGAGUUAUGGUAUUUAAAUUAGCCCCCCCCCCACCCUAUUUUCAUCAUCACCUAUCCUUAUGCAUAUAUGGAUGUGUGUGUGUGUGAGAGAGAGAGAGAGAGUGAGAGAGAGAGACUCAAGACUGCUGCAGGCCUGUGAUAUCAACAGAUACAGCAGAGAAAUUCUCCCACCAAGAUGGUCUCAAAGUUGUGAAUUCAGUGAAGGCCAGAGUGCAGGGUGUGUUUUUGCGGUCGUUUCUUGCACCUCCGUUCAUACGACAUAUAACUCAGUUGCUCUUGCUUGAUAAAAAUUCAUAAAGAUUUUGCGUCACUUUGCUCUCGCGUUGAUAUUUCACAGAUGCACGCAUACAUGUCCAUUGAAACCAAGGGAAUCUGUGCUAAAUCAGUCAUGUCUUUUGUACACGAAUCCAAUAAUGCUAAUUUCGCCCGCCGCGCUAUUUGUGAUUUGCGAUUGCUUUCUGUGGCAUAUAGCAUGAAAUGUUCUUGGCUUGUUAAACCCUAAUUGGCUGUAAUCGUUACUAGACUCUUCAAAUCCAUACUUGGCUCAUAGAUCUAAUGACAAGACUGGACUUGUGUGUAUUGUGUAUCUAUCUGCCUACAG
Molecule: long non-coding RNA, 1686 nt
Organism: Ictalurus punctatus (channel catfish)
Lineage: Eukaryota; Metazoa; Chordata; Actinopteri; Siluriformes; Ictaluridae
Source: Ensembl